RNAcentral lists this ribosomal RNA (305 nucleotides) under uncultured bacterium. RNAcentral describes it as "bacterial SSU rRNA". It matches the Rfam family "Bacterial small subunit ribosomal RNA", at positions 337 to 659 of the family's 1533-position model. The record is from RNAcentral.
GCCUACGGGGGGCAGCAGUGGGGAAUAUUGCACAAUGGGGGAAACCCUGAUGCAGCGACGCCGCGUGAGUGAAGAAGUAUUUCGGUAUGUAAAGCUCUAUCAGCAGGGAAGAAAAUGACGGUACCUGACUAAGAAGCCCCGGCUAACUACGUGCCAGCAGCCGCGGUAAUACGUAGGGGGCAAGCGUUAUCCGGAUUUACUGGGUGUAGAGGGAGCGUAGACGGCAUAGCAAGUCUGAUGUGAAAGAUCGGGGCUCAACCCCGGGCCUGCAUUGGAAACUGUUAAGCUGGAGUACAGGAGAGGUA